UUGAACGCUGGCGGCAGGCCUAACACAUGCAAGUCGAACGGUAACAGGAAGAAGCUUGCUUCUUUGCUGACGAGUGGUGGACGGGUGAGUAAUGUCUGGGAAACUGCCUGAUGGAGGGGGAUAACUACUGGAAACGGUAGCUAAUACCGCAUAACGUCGCAAGACCAAAGAGGGGGACCUUCGGGCCUCUUGCCAUCGGAUGUGCCCAGAUGGGAUUAGCUAGUAGGUGGGGUAACGGCUCACCUAGGCGACGAUCCCUAGCUGGUCUGAGAGGAUGACCAGCCACACUGGAACUGAGACACGGUCCAGACUCCUACGGGAGGCAGCAGUGGGGAAUAUUGCACAAUGGGCGCAAGCCUGAUGCAGCCAUGCCGCGUGUAUGAAAAAGGCCUUCGGGUUGUAAAGUACUUUCAGCGGGGAGGAAGGGAGUAAAGUUAAUACCUUUGCUCAUUGACGUUACCCGCAGAAGAAGCACCGGCUAACUCCGUG
This 489-nucleotide ribosomal RNA is filed under the name uncultured bacterium. RNAcentral describes it as "partial 16S ribosomal RNA". It matches the Rfam family "Bacterial small subunit ribosomal RNA", at positions 30 to 507 of the family's 1533-position model. The record is from RNAcentral.